UGGGGAAUUUUGCACAAUGGGGGAAACCCUGAUGCAGCGACGCCGCGUGAUUUAGAAGGCCUUCGGGUUGUAAAAAUCUUUUGUAUGGGAAGAAAAUGACAGUACCAUACGAAUAAGGACCGGCUAAUUACGUGCCAGCAGCCGCGGUAAUACGUAAGGUCCGAGCGUUGUCCGGAAUCAUUGGGCGUAAAGGGUACGUAGGCGGAUAAGCAAGUUAGAAGUGAAAUCCUAUAGCUCAACUAUAGUAAGCUUUUAAAACUGCUCAUCUUGAGGUAUGGAAGGGAAAGUGGAAUUCCUAGUGUAGCGGUGAAAUGCGUAGAUAUUAGGAGGAAUACCGGUGGCGAAGGCGACUUUCUGGACUUUUACUGACGCUCAGGUACGAAAGCGUGGGGAGCAAACAGG
RNAcentral lists this ribosomal RNA (402 nucleotides) under Verrucomicrobiota bacterium. RNAcentral describes it as "Verrucomicrobia bacterium partial 16S ribosomal RNA". It matches the Rfam family "Bacterial small subunit ribosomal RNA", at positions 355 to 776 of the family's 1533-position model. Lineage: Bacteria; Pseudomonadati; Verrucomicrobiota. The record is from RNAcentral.